RNAcentral lists this unclassified non-coding RNA (269 nucleotides) under fungal sp. RNAcentral describes it as "partial internal transcribed spacer region". The stretch from base 1 to 46 matches the Rfam family "Eukaryotic small subunit ribosomal RNA", at positions 1786 to 1831 of the family's 1831-position model. The record is from RNAcentral. Lineage: Eukaryota; Fungi.
AAGUCGUAACAAGGUUUCCGUAGGUGAACCUGCGGAAGGAUCAUUAACAAAUCAUGUUGGUGUCGGUGAGCUCUCGAGCUCAUCGACCCAUAUUAACCCGAACCUGUGCAGCAAUGCCAGGCAAGGUGUACUGCAUUUUUAUUAAUGCAGUGCGGUGAAGAUCAAUGUCUGAAAGGAUAGCGAUCCGAUCCACAUAGACGCUUGUAUGUUUGACAGAGUUAGUUGACACUUAAAAAUGACAACUUUUAACAAUGGAUCUCUUGGCUCUU